This 2773-nucleotide long non-coding RNA is filed under the name Salvia miltiorrhiza (redroot sage). Its description in RNAcentral is "long non-coding RNA (SMIL_LNC005998)". The record is from RNAcentral. Lineage: Eukaryota; Viridiplantae; Streptophyta; Magnoliopsida; Lamiales; Lamiaceae.
AAAAAAAAACAUAACCAAAGAGAAGUGGACUAUAUAAUUCAACAACUACAAAUCCAAAGAAGUCCCAUUCCCAUAUAUAGGUAGUUAGUUUGAAAAAAUGUGGUAGAAAUAUACAUUAAGAUGUGAUCAACGCAAGAGGUUGUAAGAAGGCAUGUCUUCAAUGAGCAACACAUCAUCCAUUAGAAAUUCCUUCUCAAGCUGAGACCUCGUGGAUCUUAGAAUGUCCUGUUUUAAGGCAGAUGUGAGUAACAAGAUUCGGAUAGGAGAUGAUGGUAACGGGGCGAGCUAGGGUUCUAAUUUGCUUACGUUGAACUCCAUGUAGGUCGCGUGUUUGUCCAGCCACAGCUUGUCCAUGACCAUGAAAGCCACGCAGUAUAGGAGGUCGAAAGCCCAUUCGUUCUCUGCAGAAAAAGGCACGGCUCAAGUUGUUAGACGAGUCCAUCAACGCAGACUAGAGGAGAAAGAUAGAUUGAUUGCCUCACCGGAUAACAUUUGCAGAAAAACGGCUCUCAUGAAACUUGGUGGCUUUGCUGCAUACAGAUGAGCUCACAUUACUCAUAUUCCAAACUGAAUUUAAUUAAAUAAACUGACUUACUAGCAUCUAGAUCAAGCAUUUGCAAGAUCAUGAAUGUAAUGUUUANUUAACAGUGCAUUGUUUAUUCGGAUCUCCACAAAUCAUUGACAGCAAAUUAAUCAUCCACACUAUACUCAAUGCAAAAUAAAUGACUAGGACAUAUAUAUUUGGAUUAGAACUUGUAUUUAUCUUGCAACAUUCAGCUCGGCAACAGCAAGCUCACAUAUCAAUUCGAAACACCAGCGGCAGAGAGAUUAGAACGCGUACAGAAAUUCAGAGAAAAAGACUCGUAACAAUUACAUAAUUUGUUCUGGAGUAAGAAUCAGAUAUAUAUAAUUAACUAUAUCCUCAAAUGUUUAAUCAUAGAUGACGAGAACUAAUUAUACAAAUAAAACAAAUACGAUGUAUAUCUAUUAGGUAUAAGAUUUAUGCCAAAGUUCGAUAUAUAUCUAUAAUGAAAGAUGAACACACAUAACUCGAGGUGUUUCAGAAAUAGGAAAUGAAAUAAAAAUCUCAUAGCAUUUCAUCAAUGACAUACAAAUUAGAACUAGCAAUAUCCUGAUUGUCCUAAUGUAGUGAUAAAGCAAAACUUGCCAAGUAAACGGAUUCACGAUCUACACAAUUUACCCAAAUACAAAUUGCGAGAGAGGAAAAACCUUGUAACGUUUGUGCAGGCGACAGUUUGAUUACAGGGAACCUCAAUAAGCUAUUAUCUAACACUUUUUGCCCCAAAUUUCAAUAGACAAUUUAAUAGAAGUAAGCUAAUAGCUAAACCAGCAGAAUUUUAAAAAAUCGAGCCCUAUGCUUAAAGCCCUAAGUCCUAAAACUGAGACAAAGCUUACCUACAGUCGAGUCAGGGACGACGACGGCGAGUGGGUGCCGGCUAAUGAGAGACUUCACCGUCAAAGGUGCUGUGGCGGCGGUGGUGGAAUGCGGUGGUAACUAUGAGAGAGAUGAGAAAUUAAGAGUGAGUGAGAGAAAAAGAGCAAAUAGAAAAUUAACAAUAAAGAGAUGAGAAUUGACACUAGGCGGUGUGGUGGUGAAGAAGAGCAGUGAUAGCGGUGGAGUGCGGCGGUGGGGGGUUUUUUACAAUCGUCGUUGGUUGCGUCUGACAUUUCAGUAUAAGACUGCCGACGUCCGUCGGUCGGCCUUCCGCCGGCAAUCUCCUAUGGCCGUGGCUCCAUAAAAAUUUCCGACAAUGUCCGAUUAUUUUUCUUGUAAUGAAUCUGAUAAUUCGUAGGGAAGGAAAUGGAGAAAAGUAUUCCAAAAGUCUUGCUUUGACCCCCAAAAAAUUGAAAUUUGAAAAUUGGCGCCGAAAUUAUACAUAUGUCAGUGUUGCCGAAACAUUUGGCAAAUAAAAUUGCCGAAUUCUGAUGCCAUGAUACACCACUUCCCAAGAAUGUAAUGAGUGCUUGACGGAAGGAGUUAACUCUGUUAACUCAUCUCUGCAAAAGAAAAAGAUAAAUUCAUAAAUGGAAGAUAGACACGUGGCGCACAUCCAAGGUAGGAGUGUUGGAGACCCUGGUGUAGGGUAGAAUUUACCUAGUAUGAGAAGCAUCGCGUUGCUUUCACUUCGAGCUUUCGCUCCGAACUUUCUCGAACAUUACAAAAAUACAUUCUUAUCAAAAUUGAAAAUCUCAAUACUUUAUUUUUUUUAAUCAUAUAUAUGUAUUUUUAAAAUUCAAUAAUACAAUCUUGGUGGGAAUUAGGUGAAUUGUACUUUGCCUCUCCACUAAUUAUUCCAAAUAUAGCAUCUCACCCCAUGAAUUUUAAGAUUUUAUAAUUACGCCCCUUGAAUUUUAUGUCCAAUUUACGACAAAUAUUUUUUAAAAUUUCUAUUGAAAAUCCAAGAACGUAGUCUUGAGCAACAAUGCUACCAGCUACAAAGUUGCUAUGAAAAAGUGUCAACUAAAAACUUGUAUACAUUAUAUAGUAUCCAAAUGAUCUUAGAUCUUCGAAGCUAUACAAAGUAAGAAAAAAAAACAUACCAAAGAGAAGUGGACUAUAUAAUUCAACAACUACAAAUCCAAAGAAGUCCCAUUCCCAUAUAUAGGUAGUUAGUUUGAAAAAAUGUGGUAGAAAUAUACAUUAAGAUGUGAUCAACGCAAGAGGUUGUAAGAAGGCAUGUCUUCAAUGAGCAACACAUCAUCCAUUAGAAAUUCCUUCUCAAGCUGAGACCUCGUGGAUCUUAGAAUGUCC